Molecule: long non-coding RNA, 2206 nt
Organism: Ictalurus punctatus (channel catfish)
Lineage: Eukaryota; Metazoa; Chordata; Actinopteri; Siluriformes; Ictaluridae
Source: Ensembl
UUUGUUUUUCUUUUUUUUUUCUUCUUUUUUUGCCUGAUGAGGUUUGAGUAAUGAAAUGAUUAACCCGUCGUUUAAUAGUUAUUUUCUCUUCUCCAUGUCCUUUUGUUUUUGGUUGAGCUUUGGUGUAGAGGGUGAGGGAGGGUUUGGGGUGGGAGUUGAGGGUUUUUGGGCGUAACUAGAUUUCCAUUUUUACCCGGUUUCAACACAGGUGCCCGUUCCGUGCUUGGGGGAAAAAAACAGUUACUUCUCUGUGAAUGACAUGUUGUAAAAAUCAAUGUUUGAAAAUAAUGAUAUUGAAAAAAAAAAACUUUUUAAGUUAAAAAUUAAAAAAAAAAAACUUUUAUUUUGGUUGUCUGCCAUGAGUGGGUUAACUCUUAGAAUCGCAUGCUGUAGAAUUGCUUAAAAAGAGGUGCAUAUGGAAAGUCCUUUGAUGUUUUUCUUUAAGAAAAUAACCUGUUAAAUAGAUCAUCACAAUGAUAUUUAUAUUCUUUUUUUUCCUCUUCCUUUUGCUACUCUGUGCAUACAUAAUUCAAUUAAACCCGCAAAGCUAUGCACUCAAGAGAAGCAAACACAUUGAUUGACCUGUUCUAUCCAUAUCUUGGAGUUUCUAAAACACUCGUACGCCGACCCUCUCUCUCUCUCUCUCUCACACACACACACACAGACACAAAACACACUCAAACUAGAACAAAAAUUUUCAUUCUUUCUGUAGCAAGACGAAAAUUCCAGAUACAAAGAAAAGAAUGCUAGAGACAUUUUGUAACAGGUUUUAAUGUCCUUUAAUAAAAAAAAAAGAAAAAAAAAACUUGCAGCAUUUGAAUGGCAGAAUUUUUCUGUUGUUCCUUUCUUCGUGUAACGAGAGGCGCUCUUUCCUUAGCGGUAGUGGCAUUUCUUCCAUUCUGUUCUCCCUCUGCGACAUUCUGUACAAAAAAAAGUGCUGUCGUUGUGCAUUAGGCCUGGAGUUGGCAACAAAAAUAAAUAAAUAAAACAUACAAAAAAAAAUUAAGAGAUUAAAUCAAUUACUCUUUUCUCCCUCUCUUUCUGUCUGUCUCUCUUCAUACAAAUAACUGUAGAGCUCUGCACACCCCCACUGUAUCCUUAUUCAUCUUUUGUAUUUAAUUUUAAAUUCAGUGUACAACAGAAAGCUGGAUGCAAGAUAGAAACUAUAUUAAAAUGUACUGUUAUUUAAGAUGUAAUAAAGCAGUUUGAGAUGAGCUUUCAGAGUCGGUGCUGUUUAUAAGGAUGUACUCGGGUCUUUAAAAGGAAAAAUCCACCCUGAACGCUUUUUUAAUCGACAUGUUACCUUCAGUUGUGUUCGAAAUUUUUGUAAUUACCUUGUGAGUUGACUUUUUUAAGUUUCAGAUUCUUUCACCAUCAUGGUGGUCUGUUUUCACUUAACAGGUUCCUACAUUACCCGCAAUGCCUUUGGACUGCCUGCUGAUAGUGAUGCCAGAGCCCUUGCUUCAUUUCUACGUUGUUAAAAAAAACAAUCAAAGUAUAAAAGGCGUUGCAGCGGCGCUUUACUUCAUUAAUCUGUCCAGUUCUCUCACCUCCUCUGUACACUCUGCUCAAACAGAUCAGCUUCCAAAGCUUUUAACUUUCAUGCUAAUACCAUCAACACCAUCACGCACUCAUCUCGUAUUUCACUAACUAGCACUCCGUGUAACUUUGUUGUAUUGCUGCAUAUUGGAAGGCCAGUGUUUUCUGUCUCAGCUUCUUAUACAUUGGAUUUUUAAUUAAUGACUAUGAACCAUGGUGGCAAAAGAAGCUCUCGUGUUUUUGUUUUUAGGAGCUUAAAAUUGCAUUAGCCUUGAGUUCUCGCAGGAAUAACGAGAAUGCAGCAUCAACCAACCAAUUAGUGCCAGAAUCGCUAAGCACAUCGCAAAUAUUUCAAUAUUAACAUUAACUGUGUUUCAGGAUGGAGUUUUCCUUUAAAUAGGUAAGUUUUAUUUUUUUAUAUAAAUGUGUGAACUGAAAUUCUUGCUGCUGACUGUACUCUACAUACAUGCUAAUGUUUAUAUUCAUGCCCCUUUCAGGGCCUCACAGCAACUACUACAGUAAAGAACAGUAGGUUUUUGGUUCAGUAGUGCUUACUUAAAGUGAUCGUUCACCCAAAAAAGAAAAUUGCCAUCUCAUGUCGUUCCAAAUCCAUAAGACUUUUGUUUAUCUUCAGAACAAAAAUUAAGACUUUUUUAAAAUGAAACCC